AUUGAACGCUAGCGGGAUGCUUUACACAUGCAAGUCGAACGGAGUGGCGGACGGGUGAGUAAUAUAUCGGAACGUGCCCAGUAGCGGGGGAUAACUACUCGAAAGAGUGGCUAAUACCGCAAACUAUUGUAACGGCAGAUAUGGGAUUAGCUAGUGGGUGGGGGAAAGGCUCACCAAGGCAACGAUCCGUAGCUGGUUUGAGAGGACGACCAGCCACACGGGGACUGAGACACGGCCCAGACUCCUACGGGAGGCAGCAGUGGGGAAUUUUGGACAAUGGGGGAAAGCCUGAUGCAGCCAUCCCGCGUGUAUGAAGAAGGCCUUCGGGUUGUAAAGUACUUUUGGCCGAGAAGCGUUAUCUGCAAAAUAAGCACCGGCUAACUACGUGCCAGCAGCCGCGGUAAUUC
RNAcentral lists this ribosomal RNA (407 nucleotides) under uncultured bacterium. Its description in RNAcentral is "partial 16S ribosomal RNA". It matches the Rfam family "Bacterial small subunit ribosomal RNA", at positions 30 to 526 of the family's 1533-position model. The record is from RNAcentral.